RNAcentral lists this ribosomal RNA (492 nucleotides) under uncultured bacterium. Its description in RNAcentral is "partial 16S ribosomal RNA". It matches the Rfam family "Bacterial small subunit ribosomal RNA", at positions 28 to 507 of the family's 1533-position model. The record is from RNAcentral.
GAUGAACGCUAGCUACAGGCUUAACACAUGCAAGUCGAGGGGAAACGACAUCGAAAGCUUGCUUUUGAUGGGCGUCGACCGGCGCACGGGUGAGUAACGCGUAUCCAACCUGCCCAUCACUUGGGAAUAACCUUGCGAAAGUAAGACUAAUACCCAAUGACAUCCCACGAAGACAUCUGAAUGGGAUUAAAGAUUUAUCGGUGAUGGAUGGGGAUGCGUCUGAUUAGCUUGUUGGCGGGGUAACGGCCCACCAAGGCAACGAUCAGUAGGGGUUCUGAGAGGAAGGUCCCCCACAUUGGAACUGAGACACGGUCCAAACUCCUACGGGAGGCAGCAGUGAGGAAUAUUGGUCAAUGGGCGAGAGCCUGAACCAGCCAAGUAGCGUGCAGGAUGACGGCCCUAUGGGUUGUAAACUGCUUUUAGAAGGGAAUAAAGUGGGUCUCGGGAGACUUUUUGCAUGUACCUUAUGAAUAAGGACCGGCUAAUUCCGUG